GUGUCAGCAGCCGCGGUAAAACGUAGGAGACAAGCGUUAUCCGGAGUUACUGGGCGUAAAGGGCGUGCAGGCGGUCUGUUAAGUCUGUUGUGAAAGUUCCCGGCUAAACCGGGAGAGGUCGACGGAUACUGGCAGACUAGAGGACAGUAGAGGCGUGUGGAAUUCCGGGUGUAGUGGUGAAAUGCGUAGAUAUCCGGAGGAACACCAGUGGCGAAGGCGACACGCUGGGCUGUACCUGACGCUAAGACGCGACAGCAUGGGUAGCGAACGGGAUUAGAUACCCCGGUAGUCC
RNAcentral lists this ribosomal RNA (292 nucleotides) under uncultured bacterium. RNAcentral's name for it is "partial 16S ribosomal RNA". It matches the Rfam family "Bacterial small subunit ribosomal RNA", at positions 505 to 796 of the family's 1533-position model. The record is from RNAcentral.